AACGAACGCUGGCGGCGUGGAUUAGGCAUGCAAGUCGAACGCGAAAGAGGGGGCAACCCCUCGAGUAGAGUGGCGAACGGGUGAGUAACGCGUGAAGAACCUGCCUUCAACAGGGGGAUAACACUCCCAACGGGGUGCUAAUACCGCAUGAGACCACGGAGUCGCAUGGCUCUGAGGUCAAAGGUGGCCUCUAUUUAUAAGCUACCGGUUGAAGAUGGCUUCGCGUCCCAUUAGCUAGUUGGCGGUGUAAAAGACCACCAAGGCGACGAUGGGUAGCUGGUCUGAGAGGAUGGUCAGCCACACUGGGACUGAGAUACGGCCCAGACUCCUACGGGAGGCAG
RNAcentral lists this ribosomal RNA (341 nucleotides) under uncultured Latescibacterota bacterium. Its description in RNAcentral is "bacterial SSU rRNA". It matches the Rfam family "Bacterial small subunit ribosomal RNA", at positions 29 to 351 of the family's 1533-position model. The record is from RNAcentral. Lineage: Bacteria; Pseudomonadati; Candidatus Latescibacterota.